This 64-nucleotide transfer RNA is filed under the name chicken gut metagenome. It matches the Rfam family "tRNA", at positions 5 to 66 of the family's 71-position model. Rfam says of the family: Transfer RNA (tRNA) molecules are approximately 80 nucleotides in length. Their secondary structure includes four short double-helical elements and three loops (D, anti-codon, and T loops). Further hydrogen bonds mediate the characteristic L-shaped molecular structure. tRNAs have two regions of fundamental functional importance: the anti-codon, which is responsible for specific mRNA codon recognition, and the 3' end, to which the tRNAs corresponding amino acid is attached (by aminoacyl-tRNA synthetases). tRNAs cope with the degeneracy of the genetic code in two manners: having more than one tRNA (with a specific anti-codon) for a particular amino acid; and 'wobble' base-pairing, i.e. permitting non-standard base-pairing at the 3rd anti-codon position. The record is from RNAcentral.
CCAUGGCUCAGUUGGUAGAGCAGCGCAUUCGUAACGCGCAGGCCGUGGGUUCGAGUCCCACUGG